AGGAGGCAGCGGGGGAAGCCGGGAGGAGGCGGCAGGCCCGGGGGAAGCAGGAGCCCAGGGGAAGCGGGCCUGUGGGAAGCCGGAGGAGGAGGCGGGGGAAGCCGGGAGGAGGCAGCGGGCCCGGCCGGAGCCAUGGGCAGCGGUGGUGGGCCCGGGCAGAGCCCAACUAGAGGCACAGAUGCUCUGUGCCCGGGCCCACUAGUUAGAUAUAAACUGUUCCAUGAUCUCUUUCCCUCCCUACAAACUUAGUGAAUAUUGAUGAAAACAUCGAACUGUCCCCUCAUCAGCCAUUAACUCUUGAAAAUGCUGGGUGAAUCAUUUUGUUGUGAGUGCAUACUUAUCACAUGCAUUGUCCCAAACAGACUCCAUUAUGUGGAGAGUUGGUAAGGUGAUUCUUCAUGGGAAGAAACUCUUGCAGCAUGGUAAGCAACUUAUGUAAACAUUACAGCCCUUGUGACAUGCACGAGUGUUUCCAGUGGCAUCCCAUGUAAGAACCAUAGCAUAUGGAAUCUUUUUAUGUGAGGAAUCGUGAGCAGACCUGCAAUCUGAAGUGCUGCAGUCGACAUAUCUUAUUGAGAAGUAGGCUGUAGUCACAGUCAAAUACCUUAAACAUGUGGCAACCUCUCAUCAUAUAUCUAGAUAAAAAGUAAAGUGAUGAAGGACUAAAUAUACCUUUUGAUAUUCCUUGAUGUUGACUAGGUUGAAAGAAAAUAUGUGAUCCUUUGCUCCAACGUAGAGUCUACUUCGCUCCUCAUCCAAAAGGAAAGUGUGAUAACUGGAACUAUUGACUAGUCCAUUGAAAGUGACUAUAUUGUUGGAUUCAUACAUUUCUGUAGGAUGGAAGACAAGAAACUUCUAGUCAAUUUGAUGAAUAAAUACUUUGAUCCUAAGCAAAAAUAGUUCAAAAUGACACUA
This is a long non-coding RNA of Hemicordylus capensis (graceful crag lizard), 915 nucleotides long. RefSeq lists it as uncharacterized. The transcript has 2 exons. The record is from RefSeq and is a predicted model, not a curated record. Lineage: Eukaryota; Metazoa; Chordata; Lepidosauria; Squamata; Cordylidae.